UACGGAGGAUGCGAGCGUUAUCCGGAUUUAUUGGGUUUAAAGGGUGCGUAGGCGGGCUGUUAAGUCAGCGGUGAAAUACGGGGGCUCAACCUGCGUCCGCCGUUGAAACUGGCGUUCUUGAGUGGGCGAGAAGUAUGCGGAAUGCGUGGUGUAGCGGUGAAAUGCAUAGAUAUCACGCAGAACUCCGAUUGCGAAGGCAGCAUACCGGCGCGCAACUGACGCUCAUGCACGAAAGCGUGAGUAUCGAACAGG
RNAcentral lists this ribosomal RNA (252 nucleotides) under uncultured Bacteroidales bacterium. Its description in RNAcentral is "partial 16S ribosomal RNA". It matches the Rfam family "Bacterial small subunit ribosomal RNA", at positions 524 to 776 of the family's 1533-position model. The record is from RNAcentral. Lineage: Bacteria; Pseudomonadati; Bacteroidota; Bacteroidia; Bacteroidales.